UCAAUAAGCGGAGGAAAAGAAACCAACAGGGAUUGCCCUAGUAACGGCGAGUGAAGCGGCAACAGCUCAAAUUUGAAAUCUGGCGCAAGCCCGAGUUGUAAUUUGUAGAGGAUGCUUCUGGGCAGCGGCCGGUCUAAGUUCCUUGGAACAGGACGUCACAGAGGGUGAGAAUCCCGUACGUGACCGGCGCGCACCCUCCACGUAGCUCCUUCGACGAGUCGAGUUGUUUGGGAAUGCAGCUCUAAAUGGGAGGUAAAUUUCUUCUAAAGCUAAAUACCGGCCAGAGACCGAUAGCGCACAAGUAGAGUGAUCGAAAGAUGAAAAGCACUUUGGAAAGAGAGUUAAAAAGCACGUGAAAUUGUUGAAAGGGAAGCGCUUGCAACCAGACUCCGCGGCGGUGUUCCGCCGGUCUUCUGACCGGUCCACUCGCCGCCGCGGGGCCAACAUCGUCUGGGGCCGCCGGACAAGACUGGAGGAAUGUGGCUCCCUCGGGAGUGUUAUAGCCUCCGGUGAUGCGGCGCGUCCCGGGCGAGGUCCGCGCUUCGGCAAGGAUGUUGGCGUAAUGGUUGCCAGCGGCCCGUCUUGAAACACGGACCAAGGAGUCUAACAUCUAUGCGAGUGUUCGGGUGUCAAACCCCUACGCGUAAUGAAAGUGAACGGAGGUGGGAGCUUCGGCGCACCAUCGACCGAUCCUGAUGUCCUCGGAUGGAUUUGAGUAAGAGCAUAGCUGUUGGGACCCGAAAGAUGGUGAACUAUGCCUGAAUAGGGUGAAGCCAGAGGAAACUCUGGUGGAGGCUCGCAGCGGUUCUGACGUGCAAAUCGAUCGUCAAAUUUGGGUAUAGGGGCGAAAGACUAAUUCGAACCAUCUAAUUACCUGGUUCCUGCCGAAGUUUCCCUCCAGGAAA
This 905-nucleotide ribosomal RNA is filed under the name Pseudocercosporella sp. RH7. RNAcentral's name for it is "eukaryotic LSU rRNA". It matches the Rfam family "Eukaryotic large subunit ribosomal RNA", at positions 43 to 980 of the family's 3401-position model. The record is from RNAcentral. Lineage: Eukaryota; Fungi; Ascomycota; Dothideomycetes; Mycosphaerellales; Mycosphaerellaceae.